AGCAGCCGCGGUAAUUCCAGCUCCAAUAGCGUAUAUUAAAGUUGUUGCAGUUAAAAAGCUCGUAGUUGAAUUUCGGGAUCGUCAGGUUGGUCUUGCCUCUGGUAAGUACUGGUCUCGGUGGUUCCUCCUUCUUGUAGAACCGUAAUGCCAUUAAUUUGGUGUUGCGGGGAAACAGGACUGUUACUUUGAAAAAUUAGAGUGUUUAAAGCAGGCGAUCGCUUGAAUACAUUAGCAUGGAAUAAUGAAAUAGGACGUUCGAUCCUAUUUUGUUGGUUUCUAGGAUUGACGUAAUGAUUAAUAGGGAUAGUUGGGGGCAUUAGUAUUCAAUUGUCAGAGGUGAAAUUCUUGGAUUUAUUGAAGACUAACUACUGCGAAAGCAUUUGCCAAGGAUGUUUUCAUUAAUCAAGAACGAA
RNAcentral lists this ribosomal RNA (413 nucleotides) under uncultured Glomus. RNAcentral's name for it is "SSU rRNA". It matches the Rfam family "Eukaryotic small subunit ribosomal RNA", at positions 569 to 987 of the family's 1831-position model. The record is from RNAcentral. Lineage: Eukaryota; Fungi; Glomeromycota; Glomeromycetes; Glomerales; Glomeraceae.